UACUUGCAGAGACUACAGCUUACUAGGUCUUGUAGUAAAUUUACAUCCAUAAGGAGGUAGCCAGAGACAAGUCUGGAAUUUGUAGCUUCACUCUUGGGAUCAAAACACAGUGUAAAAGUUUCUAAACCUAAAAUAGUGGUUUUUUGUUUUUUGGUUUUUUUGUUUUUAAACCCUAGUCCCAAAGAACGAACUCCAGUUUUAGAAAGCUACCUAAAAAUGAAAUUCCUCACUGGAGGAUCUAUUGCUGAUGUAAUUGGAAUCAUUAACAGAAGUGGUACAAUUUACCUAGUAUGCCUUAUGCACUGGGUGUGACUUUAAAUUUGGCAGAUAAUCACCUGUGGCUCUCAACGUGUUGUUAAGGCUGGUUUCUUCACUGCUGUUUCUUUUUGUUGACAUCCUUACUGGCCUUCUCCAGUGAAGUGUUGAACAUGCUACACAGAAGAUGAAUUUCUUCAGUCAGCUGUGAGGAAUAUUGGUCUCUUCUAGUCAACCAAAGCUAUAACCCCAGCUAACCAUGACACCAGCCCUUCCUCAAGUCAUCAGCAUCCAUUUUAAAAAAUGGAUCAGCUUUGUAGGGAAUGAAAAAAUUUAUCUUGAAAGAUUUCAGGAUAAUUUUUCUCCUUUUUUUUUAAUAGCUUCAAAUCCCUUGAUUGAUUUCCAAAGGUGAUGAGUUUGUUGUGUGGACUGUGUUUUUUUGCUGUCCCUUGCUGUAUAUUUUUGUUUGUUUGUUUUUUAAAGUAAU
This is a long non-coding RNA of Anas platyrhynchos (mallard), 742 nucleotides long. RefSeq lists it as uncharacterized. NCBI's taxonomy places the organism in Eukaryota, Metazoa, Chordata, Aves, Anseriformes, Anatidae. The record is from RefSeq and is a predicted model, not a curated record.